GAAUGAAUUCUUCGUGAAAGGUGCUGGAUGGACAACUCCUGUUUAUCUUCACAAGUCCUGCAGGAACAGCUGUAGAUUCCCCUGCCUUGCUGCUUCUCCUAGGGUGGUCCCUUGUGUGUGUCUCACACGCAAGGAGCUCUGUUUGAUCGCUACCUAUCUUUUCUGUUAAGAAUGUCCAAGGAGCAGCUACAUUCCUGUGACCGGCCAAAACCCUUUCAAUAUAUACAACACUAAACUGAAUUACACCAAAUGUGACCAUCUUAACAUUGGUUAGACAGGUCAACCAUAGCUGAAGCCAGAAAACUCCUUUUGGAAGAGAAGGGCAG
Molecule: long non-coding RNA, 326 nt
Organism: Gymnogyps californianus (California condor)
Lineage: Eukaryota; Metazoa; Chordata; Aves; Accipitriformes; Cathartidae
Exons: 3
Source: RefSeq, a predicted model, not a curated record